GUCGAACGGAAAGGCCCUGCUUUUGUGGGGUGCUCGAGUGGCGAACGGGUGAGUAACACGUGAGUAACCUGCCCUUGACUUUGGGAUAACUUCAGGAAACUGGGGCUAAUACCGGAUAGGAGCUCCUGCUGCAUGGUGGGGGUUGGAAAGUUUCGGCGGUUGGGGAUGGACUCGCGGCUUAUCAGCUUGUUGGUGGGGUAGUGGCUUACCAAGGCUUUGACGGGUAGCCGGCCUGAGAGGGUGACCGGCCACAUUGGGACUGAGAUACGGCCCAGACUCCUACGGGAGGCAGCAGUGGGGAAUAUUGCACAAUGGGCGGAAGCCUGAUGCAGCAACGCCGCGUGCGGGAUGACGGCCUUCGGGUUGUAAACCGCUUUCGCCUGUGACGAAGCGUGAGUGACGGUAAUGGGUAAAGAAGCACCGGCUAACUACGUGCCAGCAGCCGCGGUGAUACGUAGGGUGCGAGCGUUGUCCGGAUUUAUUGGGCGUAAAGGGCUCGUAGGUGGUUGAUCGCGUCGGAAGUGUAAUCUUGGGGCUUAACCCUGAGCGUGCUUUCGAUACGGGUUGACUUGAGGAAGGUAGGGGAGAAUGGAAUUCCUGGUGGAGCGGUGGAAUGCGCAGAUAUCAGGAGGAACACCAGUGGCGAAGGCGGUUCUCUGGGCCUUUCCUGACGCUGAGGAGCGAAAGCGUGGGGAGCGAACAGGCUUAGAUACCCUGGUAGUCCACGCUGUAAACGGUGGGUACUAGGUGUGGGGUCCAUUCCACGGGUUCCGUGCCGUAGCUAACGCUUUAAGUACCCCGCCUGGGGAGUACGGCCGCAAGGCUAAAACUCAAAGGAAUUGACGGGGCCCCGCACAAGCGGCGGAGCAUGCGGAUUAAUUCGAUGCAACGCGUAGAACCUUACCUGGGUUUGACAUGGAUCGGGAGUGCUCAGAGAUGGGUGUGCCUCUUUUGGGGUCGGUUCACAGGUGGUGCAUGGCUGUCGUCAGCUCGUGUCGUGAGAUGUUGGGUUAAGUCCCGCAACGAGCGCAACCCUUGUUCACUGUUGCCAGCACGUUAUGGUGGGGACUCAGUGGAGACCGCCGGGGUCAACUCGGAGGAAGGUGGGGAUGACGUCAAGUCAUCAUGCCCCUUAUGUCCAGGGCUUCACGCAUGCUACAAUGGCUGGUACAGAGAGUGGCGAGCCUGUGAGGGUGAGCGAAUCUCGGAAAGCCGGUCUCAGUUCGGAUUGGGGUCUGCAACUCGACCUCAUGAAGUCGGAGUCGCUAGUAAUCGCAGAUCAGCAACGCUGCGGUGAAUACGUUCCCGGGGCUUGUACACACCGCCCGUCAAGUCAUGAAAGUUGGUAACACCCGAAGCCGGUGGCCUAACCGUUGUGGGGGAGCCGUCGAAGGUGGGACUGGUGAUUAGGACUAAGUC
This 1419-nucleotide ribosomal RNA is filed under the name Cutibacterium acnes. RNAcentral describes it as "partial 16S ribosomal RNA". It matches the Rfam family "Bacterial small subunit ribosomal RNA". Lineage: Bacteria; Bacillati; Actinomycetota; Actinomycetes; Propionibacteriales; Propionibacteriaceae. The record is from RNAcentral.